This 1365-nucleotide ribosomal RNA is filed under the name uncultured bacterium. RNAcentral's name for it is "bacterial SSU rRNA". It matches the Rfam family "Bacterial small subunit ribosomal RNA", at positions 28 to 1381 of the family's 1533-position model. The record is from RNAcentral.
GAUUAACGCUGGCGGCGUGCCUAACACAUGCAAGUCGAGCGGCAGCGAGUUUUACACUGAAUUCUGGAAGCUUCUAGUUGAAAGAGAAGAUUUAUUCAAGAAUUUUGUGUAAAAUGUCGGCGAGCGGCGGACGGCUGAGUAACGCGUGGGAACGUACCCCAAAGUGAGGGAUAACGCAUCGAAAGGUGUGCUAAUACCGCAUAUGGUCUUCGGAUUAAAGCCUUCGGGCGCUUUGGGAACGGCCUGCGUAAGAUUAGAUAGUUGGUGGGGUAAUGGCCCACCAAGUCGACGAUCUUUAACUGGUUUGAGAGGAUGAUCAGUCAGACUGGAACUGAGACACGGUCCAGACUCCUACGGGAGGCAGCAGUGAGGAAUCUUCCACAAUGGGCGAAAGCCUGAUGGAGCAACGCCGCGUGCAGGAUGAAGGCCUUCGGGUUGUAAACUGCUUUUAUAAGUGAGGAUUAUGACAGUAACUUAUGAAUAAGGAUCGGCUAACUACGUGCCAGCAGCCGCGGUCAUACGUAGGAUCCGAGCGUUAUCCGGAGUGACUGGGCGUAAAGAGUUGCGUAGGUGGUUUAAUAAGCGAAUAGUGAAAUCUGGUGGCUCAACCAUUCAGACUAUUAUUCGAACUGUUAAACUCGAGAGCAGAAGAGGUAGCUGGAAUUUCUAGUGUAGGAGUGAAAUCCGUAGAUAUUAGAAGGAACACCGAUGGCGUAGGCAGGCUACUGGGCUGUUUCUGACACUGAGGCACGAAAGCGUGGGGAGCGAACCGGAUUAGAUACCCGGGUAGUCCACGCCGUAAACGAUGGAUACUAGCUGUUUGGGGUAUCGACCCCCUGAGUAGCGAAGCUAACGCGUUAAGUAUCCCGCCUGUGGAGUACGAUCGCAAGAUUAAAACAUAAAGGAAUUGACGGGGACCCGCACAAGCGGUGGAUCAUGUUCUUUAAUUCGAUGAUAACCGAUAAACCUUACCAGGUCUUGACAUCCUUGGAAUCUUUCAGAAAUGAGAGAGUGCUUUUUAAGAGCCAAGUGACAGGUGAUGCAUGGCCGUCGUCAGCUCGUGUCGUGAGAUGUUUGGUUAAGUCCAUCAACGAGCGCAACCCUUGUCAGUAGUUGUAUUUUUCUACUGAGACUGCCCCGGUAACGGGGAGGAAGGAGGGGAUGACGUCAGGUCAGUAUUUCCCUUACGUCCUGGGCUGGAAACGUGAUACAAUGGCUAGUACAAUGCGCAGCGAAGCCGCGAGGUGAAGCAAAUCGCAUCAAAGCUAGUCCCAGUUCGGAUUGUAGGCUGAAACUCGCCUGCAUGAAGUCGGAAUCGCUAGUAAUCGCAGAUCAGCAUGCUGCGGUGAAUACGUUCCCGGGUCU